CGCGACCCCAGGUCAGGCGGGAUUACCCGCGUGAGUUUA
Molecule: ribosomal RNA, 39 nt
Filed under: Isodon nervosus
Lineage: Eukaryota; Viridiplantae; Streptophyta; Magnoliopsida; Lamiales; Lamiaceae
Description: partial 26S ribosomal RNA
Source: RNAcentral